This is a long non-coding RNA of Ornithodoros turicata, 403 nucleotides long. RefSeq lists it as uncharacterized. Lineage: Eukaryota; Metazoa; Arthropoda; Arachnida; Ixodida; Argasidae. The record is from RefSeq and is a predicted model, not a curated record. The transcript is spliced from 3 exons.
UGAAAAUCUGAGGUGCCCGACGCAUAACAUUUUGAACGUGCCACGGAGGAUCAAGGCAAAAAACGAGAGCAAAAAAAGGUGCACGCUGAAGGCGGAAAUGAAGCAUGAUCUGGCUUGCAUCUGGUCAUGAAGAAAUUGCUGACACGUUAGUUGCAGUCCACCUCCACCAACAGGGUGGAAAACAAAGGUCGCCAUUCCGAUUAGCUGCUAUCUCCCAGUUCAAGCACUUUUGUGUCUGGACACUGGUUCCUGUGGAUGGGGUGUUACAAGCUUCACUGUCUGAUAUAGAAGGUACGUUACAUUAGUUCAGUUAAUUUGUCUUUUGCACAUUUUUGUUACUGUUAGCUGGAUUACUGUUGGACAUACAAUCCUUUGACACACCGAAGCUGAUGUCGCCUCUGAU